RNAcentral lists this ribosomal RNA (497 nucleotides) under uncultured bacterium. RNAcentral describes it as "partial 16S ribosomal RNA". It matches the Rfam family "Bacterial small subunit ribosomal RNA", at positions 28 to 507 of the family's 1533-position model. The record is from RNAcentral.
GAUGAACGCUGGCGGCGUGCCUAAUACAUGCAAGUCGAGCGAACAGACGAGGAGCUUGCUCCUCUGACGUUAGCGGCGGACGGGUGAGUAACACGUGGAUAACCUCCCUAUAAGACUGGGAUAACUUCGGGAAACCGGAGCUAAUACCGGAUAAUAUAUUGAACCGCAUGGUUCAAUAGUGAAAGACGGUUUUGCUGUCACUUAUAGAUGGAUCCGCGCCGCAUUAGCUAGUUGGUAAGGUAACGGCUUACCAAGGCAACGAUGCGUAGCCGACCUGAGAGGGUGAUCGGCCACACUGGAACUGGGACACGGUCCAGACUCCUACGGGAGGCAGCAGUAGGGAAUCUGCCGCAAUGGGCGAAAGCCUGACGGAGCAACGCCGCGUGAGUGAUGAAGGUCUUCGGAUCGUAAAACUCUGUUAUUAGGGAAGAACAAAUGUGUAAGUAACUAUGCACGUCUUGACGGUACCUAAUCAGAAAGCCACGGCUAACUACGUG